CGCCUUAUACUCCUACGGGAGGCAGCAGUGGGGAAUAUUGCACAAUGGGCGCAAGCCUGAUGCAGCGACGCCGCGUGGGGGAUGAAGGCCUUCGGGUUGUAAACUCCUUUCGCUAGGGACGAAGCUUUGUGUGACGGUACCUAGAUAAGAAGCACCGGCUAACUACGUGCCAGCAGCCGCGGUAAUACGUAGGGUGCGAGCGUUGUCCGGAAUUACUGGGCGUAAAGGGCUCGUAGGUGGUUUGUCGCGUCGUCUGUGAAAUUCUGGGGCUUAACUCCGGGCGUGCAGGCGAUACGGGCAUAACUUGAGUGCUGUAGGGGUAACUGGAAUUCCUGGUGUAGCGGUGAAAUGCGCAGAUAUCAGGAGGAACACCGAUGGCGAAGGCAGGUUACUGGGCAGUUACUGACGCUGAGGAGCGAAAGCAUGGGUAGCGAACAGGAUUAGAAACCCCAGUAGUCCACGUACCA
RNAcentral lists this ribosomal RNA (467 nucleotides) under uncultured bacterium. RNAcentral's name for it is "bacterial SSU rRNA". It matches the Rfam family "Bacterial small subunit ribosomal RNA", at positions 327 to 804 of the family's 1533-position model. The record is from RNAcentral.